GCGUUGUCCGGAAUUAUUGGGCGUAAAGAGCUCGUAGGCGGUUUGUCGCGUCGACUGUGAAAACUCAGGGGCUCAACUCCGAGCUUGCAGUUGAUACGGGCAGACUAGAGUUCGGCAGGGGAGACUGGAAUUCCUGGUGUAGCGGUGAAAUGCGCAGAUAUCAGGAGGAACACCGGUGGCGAAGGCGGGUCUCUGGGCCGAUACUGACGCUGAGGAGCGAAAGCGU
Molecule: ribosomal RNA, 226 nt
Filed under: uncultured bacterium
Lineage: Bacteria
Description: partial 16S ribosomal RNA
Rfam family: Bacterial small subunit ribosomal RNA
Source: RNAcentral